RNAcentral lists this ribosomal RNA (497 nucleotides) under uncultured bacterium. Its description in RNAcentral is "partial 16S ribosomal RNA". It matches the Rfam family "Bacterial small subunit ribosomal RNA", at positions 28 to 507 of the family's 1533-position model. The record is from RNAcentral.
GAUGAACGCUGGCGGCGUGCCUAAUACAUGCAAGUCGAGCGAACGGACGAGAAGCUUGCUUCUCUGAUGUUAGCGGCGGACGGGUGAGUAACACGUGGAUAACCUACCUAUAAGACUGGGAUAACUUCGGGAAACCGGAGCUAAUACCGGAUAAUAUUUUGAACCGCAUGGUUCAAAAGUGAAAGACGGUCUUGCUGUCACUUAUAGAUGGAUCCGCGCUGCAUUAGCUAGUUGGUAAGGUAACGGCUUACCAAGGCAACGAUGCAUAGCCGACCUGAGAGGGUGAUAGGCCACACUGGAACUGAGACACGGUCCAGACUCCUACGGGAGGCAGCAGUAGGGAAUCUUCCGCAAUGGGCGAAAGCCUGACGGAGCAACGCCGCGUGAGUGAUGAAGGUCUUCGGAUCGUAAAACUCUGUUAUUAGGGAAGAACAUAUGUGUAAGUAACUGUGCACAGCUUGACGGUACCUAAUCAAAAAGCCACGGCUAACUACGUG